Molecule: long non-coding RNA, 730 nt
Filed under: Macaca fascicularis (crab-eating macaque)
Lineage: Eukaryota; Metazoa; Chordata; Mammalia; Primates; Cercopithecidae
Description: lncRNA (ENSMFAG00000061845.1)
Source: RNAcentral
AUGAGCAUUGAGGGUGAAAAGAUGCUAGACCAUGCCCUAGCAGGUCCCUGUACUGCUGCCACCUCUGCUCCAACCUUGGCCAUCUUUGAGUUCCAGAACUGCCCAGUGCAGCAAAACAGCCGUGGGCAUGGCUGUCGUGGCCGAGUCUACUGCAGCACCUUCACGAGGGAGCACUCCUCCUCUGAGGAACUCGAGGAAGACACUGAGACCAUGGUCAACUUCCUCAAGGAAGAUGACAAUGCUAGGGAGUCCCCUGAGCUGGGUGCCUAUGCAAGGAGGUUUACCACUGAGGUUGUCAUGGAGAAACUAGAGGAGAAGCUCAGCGAGAUGAAGGGGCAAGAGGCUGGUAGGGGGCCCGAGGUGUCCAGCCAGGCCAGACAGCCCCAGGAGCCUCGGUUGGAAAUGGGGGCAGCAGAGGCAGAGGGCAAGGCCAGCAAGCUCUACAAUGGAGUCUGUGGUGCUCAGGUUGCCAAGGCCAUAUUUCAAAGCAAGAAAAAACACGCCUGGAGUUUUUCUCACUGUGCGAAAAGAGGAAAGGAAAAAAUAAGUUGUAAAAUGCAGUUUGGAGCCAAGCUGCCCAGUUACAAAAGAAAAAAAGUUCAAAACAGGUAAAGAAAGUCCAAAACAGGUAAAAUAUCACAAUGUUUCUGGACACACAAAAUUAUGAUGUCAGUGCUGUAGAAGCCUCAAUUUGGGAAACCAAGUAGUAGAUUUCUUUAAGACAUUAGAG